AUUGUUUUUAAAUUGUUCACAUUCAAAGGGGUGGGUAAACACCCAUACAAUUGUAUUGGAGUACUAGAGUUACUAUACUGUGAAUACAAAUCCACUGAAGAGAGUGGUUACCUAGGUCCGGGAAAAUGCAGGAAAGUUUCAAAAAGAGUUUUCAUUUAGGUGAGGCUUUAAAGAAUAAAGAAAGUCUCUAGGAGGCAGAGAAAGGGAAUGGCAUUCUAGACAUAAACAACAGCAAGAGAGAAAGGCUCCUUUCCAGUAAACAUAGUACUUAUUGAACUAAGAAACAUCUACUCAUCUACGAACUUUGUAUGCAUAUGGUGUUAGGGACUUAAGAGUUUCUCUCAUCCAAACCCAGGACUUGAAUGUGAAUUUGAAUUAGAAUGAGGAGAAAGGAUCGGUCCAAAGAAGCAUUAGAAUAGAAGCCAGAGAGGAUACUGGUACUCAAGUCCCCAGGCACAUCCAAUGACAAUGACAGAAACUCUCCUUUUACAUCUCUGCUUCUUGCUCUUGGGUGAUCAAGACCCAUUACCAUUGUCUAGUUUCCCAGUAGGACCUCAGUUGUCAACAUUGCAUUAAGUGAUAGGGUAUGGUCGUGAGCAAAGUGAAGGCAUGGAGAGUUUCAGAAAAUCCUGACCAG
RNAcentral lists this long non-coding RNA (637 nucleotides) under Homo sapiens (human). RNAcentral describes it as "HSALNT0112566". The record is from RNAcentral. Lineage: Eukaryota; Metazoa; Chordata; Mammalia; Primates; Hominidae.